This is a long non-coding RNA of Hevea brasiliensis (rubber tree), 952 nucleotides long. RefSeq lists it as uncharacterized. The transcript has 3 exons. NCBI's taxonomy places the organism in Eukaryota, Viridiplantae, Streptophyta, Magnoliopsida, Malpighiales, Euphorbiaceae. The record is from RefSeq and is a predicted model, not a curated record.
UCUCUUCUCUCCUCUCCUUCCCUCUCUUCUUCUUCUUUCUUUUUCCGGUGACCGGCCGGUGACCUCCCAAGCAGCUCCCCACCCGGCCGGCGACCCUCCGGCGACGGCAAGAGCCACCAGAAACGGCUACAAGAGAGGGAGAAGAGAGAGAAAAUGCGCGCACAGUGGGCAGCGGCUUUCCGGUGCGAUUUCGGCUUCAUUCGACGUCCGAUCGAGGCGAUUUAGGUGGCGUUGGAAAGCUUGUUCCGAGAGCUUUCUUUUGAUACCAAUUUUGCAGCAAAUGGAGGUCGGAUGAGUGAGAUAUGGAGGAGAGAAGUUUCGAGUUUUUUAAGCUUUUUCGUCAGAUCUAGGACGAUCCGACCGUUGGAUCGACGAUCCGAGACCACCUAUGGACUGAGGAAGAGGAGAGGAACAUGGUGGUAUGAUCAGAUCCGGCAAAUGUCACCGGCGACCGGCAGCUGGCCACCUUGCGCGGUGGUUCCGGCGGUGGCUCCGAUGGACUAUGAAGAUGAUUCAACUUCCAGAGGCUUCCUUAUAAAUUUUUGGAAUUUUUGAGAUACAGAUAAACUUCGGGUGAUCGAGAUCAGCUAUUUUUCUGCAUCCAGCAACCACAAUAGUCAUCGGUGUACUGCCACAGGAGGAGUUAUUUUACAGAGUAACCUGUUUUCUUCCUCGCAGGUUUAACGUCGAUUAUUUAAUUGUUUUACUAUCUUUUCUAAAUUUAAAAUCUAGAACUCCGCAUGCGUUAGUAAUAGUGUGGGCCUUGUUAGAAAUUGUGUUAAUUUAAAUUUUUGAGAUUAAUAAAUGAAGAUUUGUAUGGUAUUUAAACAGUUUAUAAAAGAGGUAACAGGGUUGAGCUGGGCUCCCCUGAUUUUAGUUUCUGAAAAUUUCUAGGCUAAGUUGGCCCGAAAUGAAAUUAUAACAGUUUGAUUUAAAUUAUUUUAUAUGCAUA